AUGCAAAGGAACUCUGGGGAUGUUGACAAAACCAGAAAAACAGAUGUCUCUGGUCGACAGGAGAUCAUUCUGAGCCGAGCGGAAGCUUGGGAAACUCAGGCCCCUCAGUGCACAUUUCCAAGCCGGAAUCUGGACAGUGUUAUUCCAGACAAUUCAAUCCCUGCCAGAAAGGGUCCCGCGUGUGUUCACCACCAGAACAUAAGUGCCUCCAGGCUGAAGCUUGUCUGGCUGGUUCGCUGCUGGGAGCUACAGUCUGGCAGACAACAGGUGCUCAGUGACUUGUGGUUGACAUCUGCUGUUAUUAUCUGCUUCACAGAGGUUGAGAGCUGGGAAGACAUGACAGCUGACAGCAUGGAGGGCCCGCAGUGGCACUGGGCAAGGGAAUGUUCCAUGGCAGACAUGCACAGACCACUCCUACAGUCUCCACACAGUAGGAGGAAUUUUAGCUACGGGCGCUGUUGGGGUUGGGAGAGGCUACCUGCUUGGCUUUCCGUUAGAAGAGGGAGCAACGCAGUGCAAACGCAGGGCCUUGAAUUUUGCGGAGAACCUGGAAAAACGGGCAUAUGGGACUGGAUAACAAAGAACGCAUCAGUCACACUUUAG
RNAcentral lists this long non-coding RNA (603 nucleotides) under Felis catus (domestic cat). Its description in RNAcentral is "lncRNA (ENSFCAG00000053773.1)". The record is from RNAcentral. Lineage: Eukaryota; Metazoa; Chordata; Mammalia; Carnivora; Felidae.